UGGGUCUGAGCUAAAUUCCUCUGUGUAGCUA
Molecule: non-coding RNA, 31 nt
Filed under: Rattus norvegicus (Norway rat)
Lineage: Eukaryota; Metazoa; Chordata; Mammalia; Rodentia; Muridae
Source: RNAcentral